RNAcentral lists this ribosomal RNA (301 nucleotides) under uncultured bacterium. Its description in RNAcentral is "partial 16S ribosomal RNA". It matches the Rfam family "Bacterial small subunit ribosomal RNA", at positions 509 to 807 of the family's 1533-position model. The record is from RNAcentral.
CAGUCGCCACGGUAAUACGAAGGGUGCAAGCGUUAAUCGGAAUUACUGGGCGUAAAGCGUGCGUAGGCGGUUUGUUAAGUCUGUUGUGAAAUCCCCGGGCUCAACCUGGGAACUGCAUUUGUGACUGGCAAGCUAGAGUGUGGCAGAGGGGGGUGGAAUUCCGCGUGUAGCAGUGAAAUGCGUAGAUAUGCGGAGGAACACCGAUGGCGAAGGCAGCCCCCUGGGCCAACACUGACGCUGAGGCGCGAAAGCGUGGGGAGCAAACCGGAUUAGAGACCCCCGUAGUCCCUGUCUCUUAUAC